CAUAACCUCAAUAUUUAUUCAUACCGUUUCGGGCGGAGUGGCAAUUUUAGUCAUCUUCGAGGAUCUGACAAUCUUUGCAUAUCCAUCAUCAAAGAGCACAUCAUACCUGUCUGCGAAAAUAUGUCACUUAUAAUUAUAAAAUAGAUGGUAUAUUAUAAAUUUAAAAAAAAAUGUCCUUCCCAGAGUGAAAACGUCAAACGGACAAUGGGAGGACACAGUCGAUCUCUGUCUUUCUCACGGUGAUUAAGGUUAGGUCGCUUACCAUUCCCUAAGACGGCGUUUACUUUAGCGGGAUAUUUUCUGCCAUCCGCCCACGUAGCUAAGAUCCUUUCUCCGACCGAGAACUCUUUCAUAUUCGUCUCCCUGGGGGUGUCAAAUUGACAUAUUACCUUCCGCGUAAAAAAAACACAAAGAGGAUAAUAAUUUCUCGCGACAUCGUCAAUUUUCUCGUGCAGCUUGUUCACAGGAUUUUAUUUAAAGUGCAGCAUUUUGUUUUCUAAUGUCAAACUAACUUAAUCUUUGAUAAAAGCAACAUGUAGAGAUUUCGUUUGUUUUUUGUUUUCUGACAUAAAAUCUGAAUGAAAAGUGUUAUUACAUCUGUCACCGCACAUAUUCAAAUAAAUUAAAAAUAAAUUUGUAGAUGAGAGCAAAAAUUACAGAGAUAUUGUACAUAAAUAAGAAAAAGAAAGUACUGCGAUAUAAGCAUGAAUUGUCGAUUAUAUAUGUAUAUAUUUGAACAAUUUAUUCACUUUGCAAAUAAUGCUGUUCACGAUGUAUCGGAAAAGAGAAAAGCUAAAUAUCAAUACCUCAAGUGAUAAGUUUGGAAGAAUUUAUUUUUUAUCAUAUUUACACGCAAGCACUUUGUUACCAUACCUUUGACUUUAAACAAACAACAUUCGCUAUCAAUGAGAAUCAGCCAACAAAACUACUAAAAAUUCUAUAAUCUACGAACGAUGACAUAUAAUAGAACACAUCUGGAUGCAUUCUUUUAGGAAGAGACAUUUAAGAGCAUGGUCGGUCAGCAGAAUGAGUUUUAGGAGAAAUAUGUAUGUACAUAAAGCUAUGAAAAAGAAUAUUUGACAGAAAGAGAAACGGAAGAUUCUAUCUACAGAUCUACAAAAUUAGGAUACCAUAGGAAUGUUCAAUUAUGAUCUAAAAACAAUGAGAAUUACUAAAAAUUUUAUUAUCUAUCCUCUAAUAACGCAAUAUCCACUUACGAAGAUGGCUGCACCCAAGAUUGCUCGCUUUAAAGAAAAACACAUAAGACAGAUUAUACAACUGUCAUAAAAUUUUGUAAACGCUACUAUUAAUUUCAAUAAUGGAAUAGUACACGGUAAUUUAAAAAUAACUUGCAUCUCUGCUGGUCCAUUAAAUCAGACGUCUCCAAUAAAUUAACCGAAUCGGCAGAUGAUUCUGGUCUGGAAUAACAGGUUUCGCCGCAACUGUCAGACUUUGGAGUUCUAUCUUCGGAUAUUAAAGGAGAAUGUCUCAUAUUUAAAAUUUCCGCAUUAAUUAAAUCCAGAUCUUCUUGCGCAUAAGAAGUAGAGGUCUUUACUGACAUGAUUACUGGAUCUAAAAACCAAUACAUAAACAUACUUAUAAUGAACGUCAACAAAUUUAAAAUCUGAGGAACGAGUAAUGAUCGAUUAUUAAAGAAAUAUUUAGGAUUUAACGAUUGUACGCUUAAACCAAGAAAAUAUCAAAAGAAUAUCCCUAAAAGUUUUCUUUGUUUCAAUCAUGCAUGAGUAAUAAUAAGUUCGAAGGUUUCUCAUAUCAUCGAUUUAUAUUCAUCGAAAGAAGACCAUAUUCUAUUCCAGUAAGGAAAAACGCACAGCGAAGAUAUGCGUUUGUUCAAAGAAAUCCAUGAAUUUGUGCGCCUCUCGCUGUGGAUGAUAUCGCGUAGUAGACGCGAAACACAGGAAAUAUCUCGGAGAAGAGAGUAGAGGCGAGACACGGAGGGAGAGGAUACUUCGAAAGCACUAGUGUUA
Molecule: long non-coding RNA, 1988 nt
Organism: Vespa velutina
Lineage: Eukaryota; Metazoa; Arthropoda; Insecta; Hymenoptera; Vespidae
Exons: 3
Source: RefSeq, a predicted model, not a curated record